AGUGAACGCUGGCGGUAGGCCUACCACAUGCCAGUCGAACGGCAGCACAGUAAGAGCUUGCUCUUACGGGUGGCGAGUGGCGGACGGGUGAGGAAUACAUCGGAAUCUACUUUUUCGUGGGGGAUAACGUAGGGAAACUUACGCUAAUACCGCAUACGACCUACGGGUGAAAGCAGGGGAUCUUCGGACCUUGCGCGAUUGAAUGAGCCGAUGUCGGAUUAGCUAGUUGGCGGGGUAAAGGCCCACCAAGGCGACGAUCCGUAGCUGGUCUGAGAGGAUGAUCAGCCACACUGGAACUGAGACACGGUCCAGACUCCUACGGGAGGCAGCAGUGGGGAAUAUUGGACAAUGGGCGCAAGCCUGAUCCAGCCAUACCGCGUGGGUGAAGAAGGCCUUCGGGUUGUAAAGCCCUUUUGUCGGGAAAGAAAAGCAGCAGGUUAAUACCCCGCUGUUCUGACGGUACCCAAAGAAUAAGCACCGGCUAACUUCGUG
RNAcentral lists this ribosomal RNA (492 nucleotides) under uncultured bacterium. RNAcentral describes it as "partial 16S ribosomal RNA". It matches the Rfam family "Bacterial small subunit ribosomal RNA", at positions 29 to 507 of the family's 1533-position model. The record is from RNAcentral.